Molecule: signal recognition particle RNA, 257 nt
Filed under: Gemmatimonadaceae bacterium 4484_173
Lineage: Bacteria; Pseudomonadati; Gemmatimonadota; Gemmatimonadia; Gemmatimonadales; Gemmatimonadaceae
Also listed under: 1 other name
Description: signal recognition particle sRNA large type
Rfam family: Bacterial large signal recognition particle RNA
About the family: The signal recognition particle (SRP) is a universally conserved ribonucleoprotein involved in the co-translational targeting of proteins to membranes. Archaeal SRP consists of a 7S RNA and homologues of the eukaryotic SRP19 and SRP54 proteins. In most bacteria, the SRP consists of a 4.5S RNA and the Ffh protein (a homologue of the eukaryotic SRP54 protein).
Source: RNAcentral
UCACUCUAGAUGGGGAGCCAGCGGUGCCCUGUACUCGCAAUCCGCUAUAGCGGGAUCGAACACCUGGCGCGGCUUUGUUCUAUGAGGUGCUCUUCAAACACUGGUUUAGCAGGCAGAACCCGCGCGGCGCAGCCCCGCGAACCCGGUCAGGGCCGGAAGGCAGCAGCCGUAAACGGAAUGCUGCGGGUGAUGCGGAUCAUUUUGUCUGUGCCUUUGUUUGAUUCACUUUGCAGAACUUGUCAAUCCAGGUUGAGUGA